This 76-nucleotide transfer RNA is filed under the name Aquariibacter albus. RNAcentral describes it as "tRNA-Val". It matches the Rfam family "tRNA". Rfam says of the family: Transfer RNA (tRNA) molecules are approximately 80 nucleotides in length. Their secondary structure includes four short double-helical elements and three loops (D, anti-codon, and T loops). The record is from RNAcentral. Lineage: Bacteria; Pseudomonadati; Pseudomonadota; Betaproteobacteria; Burkholderiales; Sphaerotilaceae.
GGGUGCUUAGCUCAGUGGGUAGAGCGGCGCCCUUACAAGGCGUAGGUCGGGGGUUCGAGCCCCUCAGCACCCACCA